AUUGUUACAGGUUUUCCUUUCACCAGAACUUGGUUCGUAAAAGUGAACAUUCCUGCUGAAUCCAGAAACAGUAGCAGUCUCUUUUUAAGCGAGCCUUAUUGACACGGAUCUAACAGAAUUCCUUAUAAUCCCGCACUUAACUCGCAAACCGUUUAUUCAGCUCUCGAUCAAUUAAACAUCCAGUGCAAAUAAAGUGUACCCGAACUACAUACACAGGACGUUUGUCCUCUGAACUCCUAAUAGAAAUUGAAUUGGAGAGGACAAACAAACAUCUCAAGUGUUCGUUAAUGUUUUCCGAUGCUCGUUAAUGUGCCUCGUAUCGAUUGCUAGUGUUCGCUGUAAAACUGUUAUGAAUAUUUCCGGAAACUGAUUCCUUGUUUUUGAAGAUAUCACUUCGCGGGUCAUCAUGGAGACAGAGGAACUCAUCAAGCUUGUUGAUGGAAUCUAUAAGAAUAUCCUGGAUAAGUUCAACCCGGGGGCCAGGCAAAUGAUCAACGCUGGCAAAGCCUACCUCAAAGCCUUGCACGGUG
This 530-nucleotide long non-coding RNA is filed under the name Leptinotarsa decemlineata (Colorado potato beetle). RNAcentral's name for it is "uncharacterized LOC111505584, transcript variant X1". Lineage: Eukaryota; Metazoa; Arthropoda; Insecta; Coleoptera; Chrysomelidae. The record is from RNAcentral.